This is a long non-coding RNA of Capsella rubella, 652 nucleotides long. RefSeq lists it as uncharacterized. Lineage: Eukaryota; Viridiplantae; Streptophyta; Magnoliopsida; Brassicales; Brassicaceae. The record is from RefSeq and is a predicted model, not a curated record. The transcript has 3 exons.
CCUUUUCAUCGAGAGUCAUCCCCAAAACUCGAGUCUCUUGAUCUUGUUUUGUGGGUUUGUAUGGUUCCUUAUAUCUCUGUCGUCGUGUCUGAAUCUCAAACCAUAGAGUGUUUGUGUUUAUUUCUAUCUUCCGUUUCUCUAUCAUGUUUCUGAUUGUUUUCCUUGAGAUUUGAUUCAAAGAGAUACCAUGAUGGCUUGUUUGCUUGUGUUUUGGAUCUCAAAGACAAGUCUGAUAAGAAAUCCAAAACGUGACAAGUCAUCAUCAUCGGCAUAUAUCUUCUGCCAAACCAGAAAGAGUUUUAGAAACCUUAUACAUUUGUCAAGAUUUUCUCAUAUCGCGAACUUGCACCACUACGAAUAAUAUCAAGGAUGUAUCAAGGAAGGCUAGACAAUGGAGAGGGAGAGUGUAAGUUACAUCUGCUCUAGACUACAUCAUUGAAUGAGAUGAUGAUGAUGUCGUUGAAUGUUAUUGAAGAAGAAACUGACCCUCUUGAGAGGAGGAGAGUCGUGGAUAUGGCUUUCUAUUGAGCUGAAAAGUGCAUGCAUGGUUCUCAACCAACAAUGCGUCGGGUCCUCUUUAAAAGUGUUAAAGAUGAAUAAAAUUUAUUUGAUUACAUGCGUCUAAAGCAGUUGUAUAUGAUGUUUUUGUUUG